Molecule: ribosomal RNA, 507 nt
Filed under: uncultured Glomeromycotina
Lineage: Eukaryota; Fungi; Glomeromycota
Description: SSU rRNA
Rfam family: Eukaryotic small subunit ribosomal RNA
Source: RNAcentral
AGCAGCCGCGGUAAUUCUAGCUCCAAUAGCGUAUAUUAAAGUUGUUGCAGUUAAAAAGCUCGUAGUUGAAUUUCAGGCCUGGCUGGACGGUCCGCCCUUCGGGUGAGUACUGUCUGUGGUCGGGUCCUACCUUCUGGCGAAGCGUCAUGGCCUUAACCGGCCGUGGCGGGGAACCAGGACUUUUACUGUGAAAAAAUUAGAGUGUUCAAAGCAGGCAAUCGCUUGGAUACAUUAGCAUGGAAUAAUGGAAUAGGACAAUGGUUCUAUUUGUUGGUUUCUAGGACCGUUGUAAUGAUUAAUAGGGAUAGUUGGGGGCAUUAGUAUUCAAUUGUCAGAGGUGAAAUUCUUGGAUUUAUUGAAGACUAACUACUGCGAAAGCAUUUGCCAAGGAUGUUUUCAUUAAUCAAGAACGAAAGUUAGGGGAUCGAAGACGAUCAGAUACCGUCGUAGUCUUAACCAUAAACUAUGCCGACUAGGGAUCGGAUGAUGUUAAUUUUAUAAUGACUC